RNAcentral lists this transfer RNA (68 nucleotides) under Scotomedes sp. RNAcentral describes it as "tRNA-Gln". Lineage: Eukaryota; Metazoa; Arthropoda; Insecta; Hemiptera; Velocipedidae. The record is from RNAcentral.
UAUAUUUUAGUGUAUUUGCACAAGAAGUUUUGAUUUUCUUAGUCCUAGGUAUUAUCUAGGAAAUAUAA